This 933-nucleotide ribosomal RNA is filed under the name Microbacterium indicum DSM 19969. RNAcentral describes it as "bacterial SSU rRNA". It matches the Rfam family "Bacterial small subunit ribosomal RNA", at positions 590 to 1520 of the family's 1533-position model. Lineage: Bacteria; Bacillati; Actinomycetota; Actinomycetes; Micrococcales; Microbacteriaceae. The record is from RNAcentral.
UGCUGUGAAAACUGGAGGCUCAACCUCCAGCCUGCAGUGGGUACGGGCAGACUAGAGUGCGGUAGGGGAGAUUGGAAUUCCUGGUGUAGCGGUGGAAUGCGCAGAUAUCAGGAGGAACACCGAUGGCGAAGGCAGAUCUCUGGGCCGUAACUGACGCUGAGGAGCGAAAGAGUGGGGAGCAAACAGGCUUAGAUACCCUGGUAGUCCACUCCGUAAACGUUGGGAACUAGUUGUGGGGGCCUUUCCACGGUCUCCGUGACGCAGCUAACGCAUUAAGUUCCCCGCCUGGGGAGUACGGCCGCAAGGCUAAAACUCAAAGGAAUUGACGGGGACCCGCACAAGCGGCGGAGCAUGCGGAUUAAUUCGAUGCAACGCGAAGAACCUUACCAAGGCUUGACAUAUACAGGUAACGGCCAGAGAUGGUCGCCCCCUUGUGGUCUGUAUACAGGUGGUGCAUGGUUGUCGUCAGCUCGUGUCGUGAGAUGUUGGGUUAAGUCCCGCAACGAGCGCAACCCUCGUUCUAUGUUGCCAGCACGUUAUGGUGGGAACUCAUGGAAUACUGCCGGGGUCAACUCGGAGGAAGGUGGGGAUGACGUCAAAUCAUCAUGCCCCUUAUGUCUUGGGCUUCACGCAUGCUACAAUGGCCGGUACAAAGGGCUGCGAUACCGUAAGGUGGAGCGAAUCCCAAAAAGCCGGUCCCAGUUCGGAUUGAGGUCUGCAACUCGACCUCAUGAAGUCGGAGUCGCUAGUAAUCGCAGAUCAGCAACGCUGCGGUGAAUACGUUCCCGGGUCUUGUACACACCGCCCGUCAAGUCAUGAAAGUCGGUAACACCUGAAGCCGGUGGCCUAACCCUUGUGGAGGGAGCUGUCGAAGGUGGGAUCGGUAAUUAGGACUAAGUCGUAACAAGGUAGCCGUACCGGAAGGUGCGGCUG